AGUAAAAGUCGUAACAAGGUCUCCGUUGGUGAACCAGCGGAGGGAUCAUUACAGAGUUAUCCAACUCCCAAACCCAUGUGAACUUAUCUCUUUGUUGCCUCGGCGCAAGCUACCCGGGACCUCGCGCCCCGGGGGGCCCGCCGGCGGACAAACCAAACUCUGUUAUCUUCGUUGAUUAUCUGAGUGUCUUAUUUAAUAAGUCAAAACUUUCAACAACGGAUCUCUUGGUUCUGGCAUCGAUGAAGAACGCAGCGAAAUGCGAUAAGUAAUGUGAAUUGCAGAAUUCAGUGAAUCAUCGAAUCUUUGAACGCACAUUGCGCCCAUUAGUAUUCUAGUGGGCAUGCCUGUUCGAGCGUCAUUUCAACCCCUAAGCACAGCUUAUCGUUGGGACUCUACGGCUUCGUAGUUCCCCAAAGACAUUGGCGGAGUGGCAGCAGUCCUCUGAGCGUAGUAAUUCUUUAUCUCGCUUUUGUUAGGCGCUGCCCCCCCGGCCGUAAAACCCCCAAUUUUUUCUGGUUGACCUCGGAUCAGGUAGGAAUACCCGCUGAACUUAAGCAUAUCAAUAAGCGGAGGAAAAGAAACCAACAGGGAUUGCCCCAGUAACG
Molecule: ribosomal RNA, 605 nt
Filed under: uncultured fungus
Lineage: Eukaryota; Fungi
Description: eukaryotic LSU rRNA
Rfam family: 5.8S ribosomal RNA (bases 205-358)
Source: RNAcentral